Pectinophora gossypiella (pink bollworm) is the source of this 4917-nucleotide RNA transcript. RefSeq lists it as uncharacterized. The record is from RefSeq and is a predicted model, not a curated record. NCBI's taxonomy places the organism in Eukaryota, Metazoa, Arthropoda, Insecta, Lepidoptera, Gelechiidae. The transcript has 3 exons.
UUUUUUUUUUUUUUUCUUCUGGCUUCCGCGGCUAGCGAUGCGCCAAUGACAAAUCUUGAGUGAUAAAUCGUGAGUUAGUCUUCAAUAAUAAUUAUCUUUUCAUGUUGUUACUGUGCAGUCGUUAAAAACGAGGAAACUUUUCAAUAAUAAAAUAUACCGGAUAGGAACGGAAUUUGGAAAAGGUGAGGAUCAGGAGAGGAAUAAUAAUAAAAUAAUAAUAAAAAGAGGAAGUUAAAUUUUAAUAUCAUUAGUAUUAAUAAACAUACUUAAUAAACGAUAGACUGAAGGAUUAUUUGAAGAUAAAAGGAUCUGGAUAGAAGUAGGAAAAGGAAUGUGUAAAUGUGUAAGUCCCUGAAAAAGUUGAGCAUUAUCAUAUUUAGGACAAUUCAGGAAGAUGUGAUCCACAUCCUCCACCUCACCACACUCACAUAAAGCACUGUCCACUAUAUGAAAUUUAGCUAGAUGAGCAGACGUACAAACGUGACCUAAUCUCAUACGAGUCAGGAUGCACGAUGCCGUCUUGCCCAACAGCAACCGCGAGAACCAGGGUUUUGCAGGAAUUUCACGUUGGAUAGAUGCGAAAUAUUUUCCUUUUGUUUGAGAACUGACAGACCACACUUCCCUCCACGAAUCACGUAGAUACACUCUGGGUAGAGCAAGAAGGUCAUGAGGGUAGAUUUUAUAGUAAGCCAUAUCUCCACAAUCAAUGGCGUCAUUAGCAAGCCUAUCAGCCUGUUCGUUUCCACGGAUACCCCUAUGUCCCGGAAUCCAGGCAAAAAUAAUCGAAAAUCCCUUUGCAGCACACUGAACAAUCAUGUUUCUGGUUUCUAUUAUCAAUGGACUAAUAAGUUUUGUUUUAAAUAAAAAUUUAGAUAGAGAUUGUAGAGCGCUCAUUGAGUCUGAAAAGAUUAUAGUUUUCCUAAGUUUUGCUAAAAGUACAUACUCAACCGCUUUAUACAGACCAAAAACUUCACCAGUAAAAACAGAACUCUCAGGAGGUAAUUUAAUCUUUUGAACUAUAUCGUAUUGUGAGUGAUAUAUGCCAACACCUACUUUAUUAUCUGUGGAUCGUUUGGACGCAUCACUAAAAACAUGAUGCCAACUGUCAGUGCUAUUGUCAAAUUCCGUGUCUAGAACGAAAUUGAAAACAUUGGAUGCCUCAAAAGUUUGUUUAGUUAUACCCAAGUUUAAACGAACAUCAGGUUUAUAAACAAGGGCUUCAUAGUUUGAGGUGUAAAGAGGGAAACAUAUUGAGUUAUGAAUUGGCGUAUCAAUUGACAGUAAUUUUUGAUAACUAUUAAUUAAACAAGGAGUGCAUUUAUGAGUCCAGUAACUUGAGGAGUUGACUUCUUCAGAGAGGAUUUUUAGCUUGGUUAAAAGUGGGUGGUCACCUAGUUGUAAACAACGGUAUAAAUAACUAUCUGAAAGAAACUGCCGCCUCAGUUGUAAAGGGGGUUCAACACACUCGACUUGCAUUGCAUUAAUAGGGCUAGUCUUCAUUGCGCCCAGAACAAUCCUUAAAGCUACCGAUUGUAUUUUAUCUAGUUUAUUUAAAGCAGCAGCACUACAUGGUUCCAGCAAAAAAGAUCCAUAAUCAAUCACACUCCUGAUUAGUGCAUUAUAAAUGAUUCUCAGAGAAGUAGGAUGAGCGCCCCACCAUACACCUCUGAGGCAUUUAAUAAUAUUAAGAUUCCGUUCACAUUUAGCCUCAAUAUAAUUGCAAUGUGGGAUACCAGGGGAGAUCUCAUACGAGAAAAAAGCACUACAUUGCUUUUGGAAACGGAUAAUUCUAAGCCAUUAUCAUUCAGCCAACCCUUCAAUAUACCAAGAGAUGUUGUAAGUGUGUUACAUAAAUUAGAAACAGAUUUACCUGAACAAUACAAUAAAAGAUCAUCUGCAUACUGUAAAAUAUUAACUGAGUUACUUAAGGAAUCCUCUAAAUCAUAAGUAUAUACAUUAUAUAGUAAAGGGCUCAGCACUGAGCCUUGAGGUAAGCCCUGCCAAACAACUCUAGAUAUCUGGGACCCAUCUAGUGUAACACUUAUAGAUCUCUCUGACAGCAUUCUAAUAAUAAAUGAAGUGAGCAUUUCCGGAACAUUUAAUGAUUUUAAUUUCUUAUGAAGAAUAGAAAUAACAACAUUAUCAUAGGCACCUUUAAUGUCUAAAAAAGCAGAGAGGAUGGAUUCAUUUUUUGAAAAUGCCAGUCUAAUGUCAGUCAUAAACAGACUCAAACUAUCAGAAGUACUUCUGCCCUUUCUGAAGCCGAACUGACUUUCAGAGAGCAAUCUAUUGCUUUCUAAAUACCAUUCUAGCCUAUUUUUGACUAAAUGUUCUGCCAAUUUGGCCAGUACAGAAGAUAAAACAACAGGUCGGUAAGAAGAAGCGUCAGAAGGAGGUUUCUUUGGUUUUAAGAUAGGUAUUACUAACUGGGACCUCCAUGAGAGAGGAAUGUUGCCAGACAACAUAAUAGAAUUUAUAAUAUUUAAGAAGUAAUUUAAAGUUUUAUCACUGCUGUUACAGAAAAAGGAAUAGGGUAUACCGUCUUGACCGGGUGACGUGUCAAUUAAACUUGUUAAAAUGCCUUUAAUUUCAGACAUGGAAAAAGGUGAAUUUAAUCCUGAUAAAUUAUUAGAAAUUGAAGUUGGCAAGCACUGAAUUUGUAACUCGGGAACUGAAGAAGGAGCUAGAUUAUCUAGGAAUUGUUCAGCUAGCUCUGAAGAUAGAGAGCCUCUAGAUGAUGGAUUAACACCCAUCCUGAAUCUCCUAACGCUUUGCCAAACAACAGAAACAUUAACAUCUGGACAAAUAUUAUUACAGAAUCUUCUCCAUCCCUCAAACUUCUUCUUUUUCAAAAAUUUACGAGUGUCCCGUGCCACUUGACAGUAAAGCUCAUAGUUCACAGAUGUCAUUAAACAGGAAUAAACCCUUUCUGCUUCCCUCCUUCUUUUUAUAGCCUCUGUGCACUCGUUGUCCCACCAAGGUGGACAGGGGAUUUUUCUGGAGCCGCCCACUUUAAUUGGGAAUAAAGCAUCUGCAACCUCAAUCAUGACUUUGACAAGAGCCUCAGAGCAAGCCAUCUCAUUACCCAUACAGACAGAAGGGAGGUUUGAAACUUUACUGUCAACUUGCUGACUAAAUGCAGACCAAUCACUAGGUUUUUUAUCAGCAGCACUUCUACAAUUCCACUGUAGGAGUACCUGAUCCAUUAUUGGGAUUGAUAGACACAGUGUUUUCAAUUAGUUGGGCAACGUGGGACGGUAUAGAAUUGGUGGGAAUUAAACUGGAUUUAAACAAAAGCUCAAUAAGAGACAAAAUUAAUUUCGCUAUGGGUUGGUUUGAUUUAUCAUUUUCUGAGUUAUCAUUUUUCAGAGCAGAACCAUUUGGUGAAGAUAGAGGUAUAUCAUAAUCUUUUAUUAGAGAUGCAUGUGCAGCCCGGUCAUACCCAGCCGAAGGCGUAGGAGGAGCACGAGGCUUAAGGAAAACUGUUUUUUUAUAUGAGCUGGAAGAUGGGGACAAUCGAGCUGCUGGGUUAGCAGCCUCAUCUUGAGAUUGUUUAUGUUGCGAAGUUCUAAGAACGUCAGCAAAAGAUUUGGAGACAACGGGGUGUAAUUUGGAAGCCUCUAAAUAUGAGAUGCAGUUUUGAGCCAUUGACACUUUGAUAUUUUUUUGUCGGGAAAAUUCAGGACAAGCCUUACUAGUGGCAAAAUGAUAACCAGAACAAAGACAGCAUGAUCCAUCCUCUUGUUCUACUGAACAAGAUUCGGCAGUGUGACCUUGCCCACAUUUAUAACAGCGAGGCUUGGAGCGGCAUUGAGCCUUUGUAUGACCAAAACGGCAGCAGCUGUAACAUUGAAUGGUUGGAUAAAUGUACAAGUCGACAGUCAAUGGAGUAUAGCACAUAAACACACGUUUUGGUAGUACUUGUCCAUCGAAAGUUAAAACAACUGUUUCAGUGUUAGUAAAUUCUGGAGACCCAUUUAUAAUUUUUUUACUUUUAAUUCUCCUAGCUUUAAGAACUUUCCCACAUCCAAUGGGGACACUCACAUUAUCCAAAAUCUCAUCCUCAGGCCAGUCAGCAGGGACACCCCUGACAACACCCAUCCGUGUGAUAAUAAAGGUUGGAAUGAAAGCUCUCAAACUAUGGCUGGCAAGGCAAGGAUUUUCAAUAAAAGCGUUAGCAUCAGAAUAUGUGGAAAAGGCCAUGGAUAGUCUAUUUCUGCCGAUCCGUUUCAAGCUACCGUUCACUAUGUUUUUAAUCAUAUUUUUCUUUAGAACGCUGCCAAACUGAAUGGGAUGCAGUGAAACAGGAUCGUCAGGAGUAGACUGCUCCUUUUGAAUGUGCACCACAUAGGGUGCUAGGUCGGAAGAAACAUAUUUCCUACCAACUUGCUGUUGCUGCUGGGUUUGCUGAUUAGUUACUGUGACUGUUGGUGGUGGAGGUGGAGGAUCAGGUAUUGUUGAUAAAAGAGAAUUGUCUUCGUCAGAAUUGCAAUUGCACUUGUCUACACCCGAAACGUUUUUACUAUUUUUACUUUUGCGCUUUUUGUUGCAAUGUUUGCAAAUCUUUCUCAAGGGUCUUACACGUUUUCUGACUUGAGAGGAGCACCCGUCCUCCGUAUCCAUUGACGAAGUAUCGUCAACAAUAACUUCCAUCCCUACAUGAGGGACACGAUGACGAUCCCGGCCGCCACCGGGGUCGUCGGGGGGAUCAACCCCCAUAGUAAAAAGAAAAACUCACUUACCACUACACAGCAGCAAGUAUUUUAGAAGAAUAUAUAUAAAUAUGAAUUAACAGAUAAAAUAAUACAGAAAUACUCCACUGAACCCACACGAAAUCAAUUAAAUUAAAUUUUCACUAAAAAACACGACCGCCAAUUUCGGAAGUUUCCCGCGCUUUUCUCUGUGAUGUUUGUUUAU